CACACGGCAGAGCUCGGGGCCCAAUCGGCUGCCCCGUACGUGCCCUGCCCUCCCGGGACUUACACGUGAAGACGCAAGGAGCCUGAAGGCCAGGGCCAGGCUCGCACCCGACGCGCAGGCCGCGUGACCGUGGCUGCCCGCCGCCCCGCCCCGUGGAGCCCUCCUUGCGGACCACACACAGGACCGCACACAUCGAGGAGCGCGGAGCUCUGGAGUCCAGGGGCCAAGGGGAGAGCGGUGACCAGCAGGGAGGACUAUUGGGAAUAGUGCAGUGAACACUGUCACGCAAUUACAUCGUUUCAGCUAUUUUGGGAAAAGAGUGUGGAACAAUGUGGAGGACGCUUGGACAGCUCUCCUGGAACAAAGAGCAGUCGUCUCCAAGUGGGCCAAACCUGGCCCUGUCUCCAUGUGCUGAUGUGUACGGAGCUGGCUGAGCCAUUGCCUUUUCCCUUCAAGUGGCUCUCAGCAAUAUAAACUGGGCUGGGUGAGGUGCUGAUGUGUAAUUGCUGAAGUCUGGUGACUGUCACUUUUCCCUGCCCUAAGACUCCUUAAAUGUAGUUGAGCCAGGUGGGAUGCAGAGCCACAGCUCCAGGGCUGUCCUGGGAUGGAGCCUUGAGAUAAGAGGCUGUGACUGCCCAGGACAGAGAAGUUUGCACCUCAGAGCUGAGGCACUGCACCCCAUACAUUACAUGCUCCCUCCACUGUGCUAUGCAGAUCAGUCUCUCUGUGUAUUGCAGAGGUGAUUUUAGGCCUCCUGCCCAGCCCAGCUCACAGUGCUCACAUAUUUCCUGCCAUUCUCACAGUCGCUUAUCCUCAAUCCCCUCCCUUCUUCAUGAGUUAAUAAAAUCUGGGUUGGGCCCUGCAUUGAGGAUUUUAUUCCAAUAAACUUUCUUCCUGGCUGGA
Long non-coding RNA from Cavia porcellus (domestic guinea pig), 903 nucleotides. RefSeq lists it as uncharacterized. The record is from RefSeq and is a predicted model, not a curated record. NCBI's taxonomy places the organism in Eukaryota, Metazoa, Chordata, Mammalia, Rodentia, Caviidae. The transcript has 3 exons.